GAUGAACGCUGGCGGCGUGCCUAAUACAUGCAAGUCGAGCGGACGGACGAGAAGCUUGCGCCUCUGAUGUUGGCGGCGGACGGGUGAGUAACACGUGGAUAACCUACCUAUAAGACUGGGAUAACUUCGGGAAACAGUAGCUAAUACCGGAGAAUAUUUUGAACCGCAUGGUUCAAAAGUGAAAGACGGUCUUGCUGUCACUUAUAGAUGGAUCCGCGCUGCAUUAGCUAGUUGGUAAGGUAACGGCUUACCAAGGCAACGAUGCAUAGCCGACCUGAGAGGGUGAUCGGCCACACUGGAACUGAGACACGGUCCAGACUCCUACGGGAGGCAGCAGGAGGGAAUUUUCCGCAAUGGGCGAAAGCCUGACGGAGCAACGCCGCGUGAGUUAUGAAGGUCUUCGGAUCGUAAAACUCUGUUAUUAGGGAAGAACAUAUGUGUAAGUAACUGUGCGCAUCUUGACGGUAACUAAUCAGAAAGCCACGGCUAACUACGUU
Molecule: ribosomal RNA, 497 nt
Filed under: uncultured bacterium
Lineage: Bacteria
Description: partial 16S ribosomal RNA
Rfam family: Bacterial small subunit ribosomal RNA
Source: RNAcentral